RNAcentral lists this ribosomal RNA (519 nucleotides) under uncultured bacterium. RNAcentral describes it as "partial 16S ribosomal RNA". It matches the Rfam family "Bacterial small subunit ribosomal RNA", at positions 28 to 507 of the family's 1533-position model. The record is from RNAcentral.
GACGAACGCUGGCGGCGUGCCUAAUACAUGCAAGUCGAGCGAGUCUGCCUUGAAGAUCGGAGUGCUUGCACUCUGUGAAACAAGAUACAGGCUAGCGGCGGACGGGUGAGUAACACGUGGGUAACCUGCCCAAGAGAUCGGGAUAACACCUGGAAACAGAUGCUAAUACCGGAUAACAACAGAUGAUGCCUAUCAACUGUUUAAAAGAUGGUUCUGCUAUCACUCUUGGAUGGACCUGCGGUGCAUUAGCUAGUUGGUAGGGUAACGGCCUACCAAGGCGAUGAUGCAUAGCCGAGUUGAGAGACUGAUCGGCCACAUUGGGACUGAGACACGGCCCAAACUCCUACGGGAGGCAGCAGUAGGGAAUCUUCCACAAUGGACGCAAGUCUGAUGGAGCAACGCCGCGUGAGUGAAGAAGGGUUUCGGCUCGUAAAGCUCUGUUGUUGGUGAGGAAGGACAGGGGUAGUAACUGACCUUUGUUUGACGGUAAUCAAUGAGAAAGUCACGGCUAACUAAGUG